GCUGACAGACCUUUGGAAAAUAAAAGAAUGGGGAGCUGUUGAGCAAAUCCAUUUAGGAAAAAGUGAUGGGAGAAUGGGUCAAAGAGGUGAGGUUGAGAGCAGAGUGCCCAAGAAGUACUGAGCACAAGUGGCCCACUGGUUAGCAUAGUAUUUGUGGCCCAAGCUCUUUUCUACCGGCAGGAGCUGGUCCUGGCUCUUACUGCAAAGCACAUCGAAGGCAAAGGAAGAGGGGGAAAAAAAACAAAAAACAAAAAACCUUGGGUCCUUGGGUGAUUCUCCCUCUGCUCUGGGUUUUGGAGGACUGGAGAGAUUGGUGGGAAAGCCGAGAGGAGGAAUCACCUCCUCUGAGGAAUGAGAUUAGGGCUGGCACUGAGAAUCUCCCAAACACAGAGCACAGUAUCUGAGGCACCAGUCUUGGGUGUUGGACGGUGGAGGAAAGAAGCCAGAGAGAAGGCACGGAUACCCAGCAAAGAAAGCCACUCGGCCUGACUGAGGCCAAAAGGGGCCAGGCUGCAUUUAGGUGGACAGAAGACAGGCACAAGUACCAUGUAGCUGGGGAUCCAGACAGGGUAGAGACAGAGGAUGUAGGUCUGGACUCAAUGGAAGCAGAGGAGGCUGUAGGCAUAGCUGGAUGAAGACAGGAUAAGUAGAUUCGCAAUUGCUAAUGCUUUGGGGGCACUUGGCUAGGGUCAGCCACUCUUCAAAACACUUAAAUGUUAAGGAGACAAAGAGCUGGACCAUGUACUAGGAGUUCUGUAGUCAUUCUUAAUGACUACACUGUGUGAAAUACAGACAUGAAUAAAGGUUUUAUAUCUAUAAAGGACUUAGACCUCGGCUUACCCUUUAUGUUAAAUGUUUGGUUUAUAUCAAAACCAAACAAACAGCAAUGACAACAAAACCAAAUGUUUUGGAACCACCCCAAACCCAUGUGAUCUUAGCAGCUAUUCAGACUGUUUACAUUUCUGUUUUCUUGUUCAUUUGCAAACGUAAGCAGAGUACCUACCCAUCACGAUUGCUGAGGGUUAAAGAAAAAAAGCUCCGUUGAGUGCUCGUCCAGGCCUCCUGCAGAGCCACUGCUUUUGGAGGCUGUCAAGAAAAUGUCCAUUCCAGUUCCAGAUUGCUUCCCUCUCUCCAGGGACUACAGAUGACAACGUGACACCUACAGUUGCCUGGACAUCAUGCCAUGUUCUUAGGAGCAAUCAACCACCUGGAGGAGCCUACAAAUUCUGUUUAAUUUCCCUUUUCAUCAGCAGCCUGAUGUGUGGGUACUGGACAGAGUAUGCUUAGUAAACCUCUGCUCCCGGGGCAAUAAUGAAGGUACUUCUAGAGAUGGCCACUAAGGCUGCAAAAGGAUCUCUGAGAAGGUCCAACGCAGGUAGCUAGCCCAUGGCCAUGAAUCAUAAAGUUGAAACCUUCAGAGAUUAAGACAUCUCAAAAGUACAUCAAGUAGGAAAGCAGGAACUAUGGGCAAAUUAGAGCACGCCCACCCCAUAAAGAUGGCGCUUACUACUUCCCAUCAGCCAUCACUGCAGAUAGAAUGCGAGCCCACAGUAGCAAAUAUUCUGAUUUUUAAAAAGAAAUUGGGACUUACUUUAAAUCUCAAAACAAAAACAAAAAAAGUCAGCAUUGGCUUCUAAUUUUAGUCUUUUCUGAAAGUCCUGUGAAAACCAGCAAACUUGCUAGCUGGGUUGUUCCUGGAGACUAAUUUACCUCUGUGUGGAUUUGAGGAAGGGUGUAGAGGUUAAGGGCUGUAUCCAGGGGCAAAAGCUGAGGGAUGUGAAUGGUCACAUCUGUGGGGCCAGAUAAAGCACGAGAAGGCCCAGAAGGCAGAAGCAAGCUGUGGAGACUUCCCGGAACUCUGAGCUUUAGAAGAUCUUUCCAGAAAGUCAGGAUGGACUCUGAGAUAGCCAUUCCAGAGGCAGGAAUUCUAGAAUGGAC
This 1938-nucleotide long non-coding RNA is filed under the name Mus musculus (house mouse). RNAcentral describes it as "elncRNA-EC23". Lineage: Eukaryota; Metazoa; Chordata; Mammalia; Rodentia; Muridae. The record is from RNAcentral.